This 640-nucleotide long non-coding RNA is filed under the name Coturnix japonica (Japanese quail). RNAcentral's name for it is "lncRNA (ENSCJPG00005000901.1)". Lineage: Eukaryota; Metazoa; Chordata; Aves; Galliformes; Phasianidae. The record is from RNAcentral.
CUAGUAUUUGUCAGUAUGUUCUGUAUUUUAAUGAUGUACACACUUCCUAAAAUAUACCUUGAAAUAGGUUAAGGAACUUUGCAUAGAUAAAUAGUAGAAAUUUCAGUGUUAGAGUUAAGCUCCCUAUGGUAUUUUAAGGCUUGUAGAAAUACCCAUGUGUUAAGUUGUCACAUUUUCAAAUUACAAACUUGUAACUGUCACUCUCUAACAGUGCGUGCAUAACUAUAUCCACAGCUUUGUGGGAAGAGAUGUUAUUCAAAGUAAUACAUUUUAGGCAUUUUCUUAUCAUUAGAAGAGGCAUUCUUUAUUCACAAAUAUUUAAAUUUUGCAGUGUGAUGAAGUUGAGAGGGUGGCUAGAUGUGAAUAACAGCUGGGUUAGAACAAGUACCUCAGGAAUUUUGUCCAAGAUUAUUCCCAACAACUGCCCCUCUCUGAUCUCCAGCCAUGAAGAUCCAAUCUGUGAGCAAUCUGAGCUGACUUUCAACAGGGACCUAGUACGACCGAAAGGAGAUCCUGAAAUGUUAACAAAAGGGAGAUUCAUAUGUAACAACUCUGAAUCCUCUGAUUCUUCCUUUAUAUGUUACACUGGUUAGGCUGUAUUUUUAAAUGAGGCAAACUGUGGUUGACAAAUAAGAUACCC